This is a small nuclear RNA of Cricetulus griseus (Chinese hamster), 109 nucleotides long. NCBI's taxonomy places the organism in Eukaryota, Metazoa, Chordata, Mammalia, Rodentia, Cricetidae. The record is from Ensembl.
UUGCUCUCUUCAGCCACACAUACACUAAUAUUGGAAUGGUACUGAGAGGAUUAGCAUGUCCACCUUAUUCAAGGAUGACAUGUAAGUCUGUGAGGUAUACCAUAUUUUU